This 483-nucleotide ribosomal RNA is filed under the name uncultured bacterium. RNAcentral's name for it is "bacterial SSU rRNA". It matches the Rfam family "Bacterial small subunit ribosomal RNA", at positions 28 to 512 of the family's 1533-position model. The record is from RNAcentral.
AAUGAACGUUGGCGGCGUGGAUUAGGCAUGCAAGUCGAGGGAGAACCCGCAAGGGGGACACCGGCGAACGGGGUAGGAUCACCUCGGUGACGUACCCUCCGGACGGGGAUAGCCACGGGAAACUGUGGGUAAUACCCGAUGACCUGGCAGGGGCUUAGGCCCUGUCAGCAAAGGUGAGAUUCCACCGGAGGAGCGGCUGAGGCGCUAUUAGCUUGUUGGUGAGGUAACGGCUCACCAAGGCGACGAUGGCUAGGGGGUGUGAGAGCAUGGCCCCCACCACUGGCACUGAGACACUGGCCAGACACCUACGGGUGGCUGCAGUCGAGAAUCUUCGGCAAUGGGCGCAAGCCUGACCGAGCGACGCCGCGUGCGGGAUGAAGGUCUUCGGAUUGUAAACCGCUGUCGGAGGGGAUGAAGUGUAUGGGAGCUAUCUCCUGUAUUUGACAGAGCCUCGGAGGAAGCACGGGCUAAGUUCGUGCCAGC